AACUUACUUGUAGAUGCAUAUUAUGCUCAAGUCAUGUACAGUCAUUUUAUCUUAAUCCAGCUGCUGAUCAGACACGCAUGAUGCAAGAUCAGAUGCAAAUGCAGAUGCCACCAGACCCAAGCAAGGCCUUCAAGGCUGAAUGGGAAGCACUAGAGAUAGUUGAACAUGAGUGGGCUYUAGAAAAUGUUGAAGAAGAACUUAUUGAAGAAUACUCUCCAUCCGAUGUGUUUGAAGUAGCCAAAGAUAAAUAUGUGUAAAAWAAUUUGAGAAAUAAAAUCUGCACCAAAGA
Exaiptasia diaphana is the source of this 289-nucleotide long non-coding RNA. RefSeq lists it as uncharacterized. The transcript is spliced from 2 exons. Lineage: Eukaryota; Metazoa; Cnidaria; Anthozoa; Actiniaria; Aiptasiidae. The record is from RefSeq and is a predicted model, not a curated record.